This 430-nucleotide ribosomal RNA is filed under the name uncultured Alphaproteobacteria bacterium. Its description in RNAcentral is "bacterial SSU rRNA". It matches the Rfam family "Bacterial small subunit ribosomal RNA", at positions 958 to 1385 of the family's 1533-position model. The record is from RNAcentral. Lineage: Bacteria; Pseudomonadati; Pseudomonadota; Alphaproteobacteria.
AACGCGAAGAACCUUACCAGCCCUUGACAUCCCGGUCGCGGGAACGAGAGAUCGAUCCCUUCAGUUCGGCUGGACCGGAGACAGGUGCUGCAUGGCUGUCGUCAGCUCGUGUCGUGAGAUGUUGGGUUAAGUCCCGCAACGAGCGCAACCCUCGCCCUUAGUUGCCAUCAUUUAGUUGGGCACUCUAAGGGGACUGCCGGUGAUAAGCCGCGAGGAAGGUGGGGAUGACGUCAAGUCCUCAUGGCCCUUACGGGCUGGGCUACACACGUGCUACAAUGGCGGUGACAAUGGGACGCAAUGGGGAAACCCUGCGCAAAUCUCAAAAAGCCGUCUCAGUUCGGAUUGUGCUCUGCAACUCGAGCACAUGAAGUUGGAAUCGCUAGUAAUCGCAGAUCAGCACGCUGCGGUGAAUACGUUCCCGGGCCUUGUA